This 199-nucleotide non-coding RNA is filed under the name Bacteroides neonati. The record is from RNAcentral. Lineage: Bacteria; Pseudomonadati; Bacteroidota; Bacteroidia; Bacteroidales; Bacteroidaceae.
CUUUCUGAGGAGGGUAUAAAAGGGAAUCCGGUGAUGAAUCCGGAACAGUGCCCGCUACUGUAAAGCUCCUCUCCACUUUAUUAUAUAGGAGAGCUAAACGAGAGAUCCAUUCUACUACAUGCCACUGUCUGCGCGGAUGCGGAAAGACGGGAAGGCUGUUCUCUCGCCGAGCCAAGUCAGGAAACCUGCCAGGCAGAUU